ACCUGGCUGGCUCCGUGGUAGAGCAUCUGAUUCUUGAUCUCCAGGUUGUGGGUUUGAGUCCCAUGCUGGGUG
Molecule: transfer RNA, 72 nt
Filed under: Canis lupus familiaris (dog)
Lineage: Eukaryota; Metazoa; Chordata; Mammalia; Carnivora; Canidae
Also listed under: 1 other name
Rfam family: tRNA
About the family: Transfer RNA (tRNA) molecules are approximately 80 nucleotides in length. Their secondary structure includes four short double-helical elements and three loops (D, anti-codon, and T loops).
Source: Rfam by way of RNAcentral